This 861-nucleotide long non-coding RNA is filed under the name Gallus gallus (chicken). RNAcentral describes it as "long non-coding RNA NONGGAT002800". The record is from RNAcentral. Lineage: Eukaryota; Metazoa; Chordata; Aves; Galliformes; Phasianidae.
UUGAAGUCUUAGUGAAAUUAUCGCCAUAAUUUUAAAAGCUAGUUAUUUCAGCUAAAAACAGCUACUAUUUCAGAUAACGGAGUUUCUGCUGUUUUCAUUGUUGGCUUCUAGAGUAAAGCGAGUUGCUCUGAAGCAAAAGGGAGGUAAAUGGGAGCAACUUUGAGAAAGUUUUUUUCACUUAGAGAGUAUGCUGAUAGUGCUGGUUCUACGUCUCUGUUAUCCUCAGUCCACCCCAUUCUAAAUUCAGGUCCCGUUUAGGUCACAAGCUUUCCCAUUCUGUCCAAAGCAUCGUCUCUGUCUGGUAUUUAUGACAUAGUCCAGUGGACUGAAUGACCUGUGAGCGGGCCAAGUGCCAGAGGAAAACAUGCUCAGGCUGGAGGCAGCCAAAAAACGGCUGGACAGUGGCUGGGAAGCUAUGAGGGCUUUGUCCUGUUUUUGUUUGUUUGUUUCUUUUUGUAUCUAUGUGAAUUUUGAAAACCAGAAACUCUAGUCGGGAAAAUUUGGCUAUGUGCAGGACAGCUACUUGCUAUUCCUGGCAAGCAGACAGCUAGGGAACUUUAAGAUUACCCAACAGAGAUGACCAAAGCUAGACCGGAAGCACUCUGAGACUUAGAGGUGUACCAGCUCGAUGAAGUAGACUAUGCAUCUAUCAGAAUGAAAGCAGUUCUCUGAGUUGCAGCUGGAGAAUGAGGGCAGCUGAGGCCACUCCAAAUCUCAGGAGAUCAACAGUGUUACAGCUGAUGAUCUAAUUAUGGAUUAUUUGGGUCAGACUCUGUUCUCCUAGGUGUGACUUGGUUGACUUAAAAAAGGUUAAUUCAUUCAUUUUGUAGGGGUUAUCGCAUAAAUGAAUUAUAAUUGUUA